ACGAACGCUGGCGGCAUGCCUAACACAUGCAAGUCGAACGAGACCUUCGGGUCUAGUGGCGCACGGGUGCGUAACGCGUGGGAACCUGCCCUUAGGUUCGGAAUAACUCCCCGAAAGGGGUGCUAAUUCCGGAUAAUGUCUUCGGACCAAAGAUUUAUCGCCUUUGGAUGGGCCCGCGUUGGAUUAGCUAGUUGGUAGGGUAAAAGCCUACCAAGGCGACGAUCCAUAGCUGGUCUGAGAGGAUGAUCAGCCACACUGGGACUGAGACACGGCCCAGACUCCUACGGGAGGCAGCAGUGGGGAAUAUUGGACAAUGGGCGAAAGCCUGAUCCAGCAAUGCCGCGUGAGUGAUGAAGGCCUUAGGGUUGUAAAGCUCUUUUACCCGGGAUGAUAAUGACAGUACCGGGAGAAUAAGCUCCGGCUAACUCCGUG
RNAcentral lists this ribosomal RNA (432 nucleotides) under uncultured bacterium. Its description in RNAcentral is "partial 16S ribosomal RNA". It matches the Rfam family "Bacterial small subunit ribosomal RNA", at positions 29 to 507 of the family's 1533-position model. The record is from RNAcentral.